RNAcentral lists this ribosomal RNA (264 nucleotides) under uncultured bacterium. Its description in RNAcentral is "partial 16S ribosomal RNA". It matches the Rfam family "Bacterial small subunit ribosomal RNA", at positions 96 to 354 of the family's 1533-position model. The record is from RNAcentral.
UGGCGGACGGGUGAGUAACGCGGUACGGGUAACCGUCGUCCUACACGAGGGGAGUAACACUUAGAAAUAGGUGCUAAAACCGCAUAAGCGCACAGCUUCGCAUGAAGCGGUGUGAAAAACUCCGGUGGUGUAAGAUGGACCCGCGUCUGAUUAGCUUGUUGGCGGGGUAACGGCCCACCAAGGCGACGAUCAGUAGCCGGCCUGAGAGGGCGGACGGCCACAUUGGGACUGAGACACGGCCCAGACUCCUACGGGAGGCAGCAG